This 84-nucleotide transfer RNA is filed under the name Treponema sp. Its description in RNAcentral is "tRNA-Leu". It matches the Rfam family "tRNA". Rfam says of the family: Transfer RNA (tRNA) molecules are approximately 80 nucleotides in length. Lineage: Bacteria; Pseudomonadati; Spirochaetota; Spirochaetia; Treponematales; Treponemataceae. RNAcentral also lists the same sequence under 1 other name. The record is from RNAcentral.
GCCCGGAUGGCGGAAUUGGUAGACGCGCUAGGUUCAGGUCCUAGUGGGAGCAAUCCUGUGAGAGUUCGAGUCUCUCUUCGGGUA